Non-coding RNA from Bos taurus (domestic cattle), 72 nucleotides. The record is from Rfam. Lineage: Eukaryota; Metazoa; Chordata; Mammalia; Artiodactyla; Bovidae.
UCCCUGCUGGUUCAAAGGUUAAAGCAUCUGCCUGCAAUGCAGGAGACCUGGGUUCUAUCCCUGGGUCGGGAA